GACAGAGGUGCCGAGCGUUAGGCGGAAUCACUGGGCUUAAAGCGUGUGUAGGCGGACUUCUAAGUACCUUGUGAAAUCCCACGGCUCACCCGUGGAACUGCUUGGUAUACUGGUUGUCUUGAGCCUUCUAGGGGCGAGUGGAACAAAUGGUGGAGCGGUGAAAUGCGUAGAUAUCAUUUGGAACGCCAAUGGUGAAAACAACUCGCUGGGGAAGUGCUGACGCUGAGACACGAAAGCCAGGGGAGCGAACGGG
This 253-nucleotide ribosomal RNA is filed under the name uncultured bacterium. RNAcentral describes it as "partial 16S ribosomal RNA". It matches the Rfam family "Bacterial small subunit ribosomal RNA", at positions 524 to 776 of the family's 1533-position model. The record is from RNAcentral.